UACGUAGGGGGCUAGCGUUGUCCGGAUUUAUUGGGCGUAAAGAGCGUGUAGGCGGCCUGGUAGGUCUGCUGUGAAAACUCGAGGCUCAACCUCGAGAUGUCGGCGGAAACCAUCUGGCUAGAGUCCGGAAGAGGAGAGUGGAAUUCCUGGUGUAGCGGUGAAAUGCGCAGAUAUCAGGAAGAACACCUAUGGCGAAGGCAGCUCUCUGGGACGGUACUGACGCUGAGGUGCGAAAGCGUGGGGAGCAAACAGG
This 253-nucleotide ribosomal RNA is filed under the name uncultured bacterium. RNAcentral describes it as "partial 16S ribosomal RNA". It matches the Rfam family "Bacterial small subunit ribosomal RNA", at positions 524 to 776 of the family's 1533-position model. The record is from RNAcentral.